Molecule: non-coding RNA, 1648 nt
Organism: Camellia sinensis
Lineage: Eukaryota; Viridiplantae; Streptophyta; Magnoliopsida; Ericales; Theaceae
Source: RefSeq, a predicted model, not a curated record
UUGGGCUAAAUUACCUAUACUUGGAAAGCCGGUGUGUGUCUCUCACUGUGACUCUUUGCCCCUCUCUCUCUCUCUCGCCUCAGCCCUUCUCCUUCUACGAUCUCUUUCGCAUCGUCACCACACCAUCGCACGAUCUCUUUCUCAUUUCCCAAACUCUCUCUUCUCUUCUGUUGAAGAUCGAACAUGGAGAUUUCUCAAUCUCUGCUCCAACGCUAUCGCAGCGAUCGUCGUCAGCUCCUGAGUUUCAUACUCUCAUCAGGUUUGAUAAGGGAGCUCCGGUCUCCUACUGGUCCCACCUCCUCUGUCUCUGACUCUGAUCUCGAACUUCUCAGCGCCGAUUACGUCCUCCAAUGCGCACAAUCCGGAUCCGAGUCUUGUCUUUGUUCCCCUUGGAACCUCGAGAAAAAAUUCAAGACUAGGCACUCUGAGAAGAAGUGACUCCAUGUGGCACACAAAUUAUUUACCUGUGGUUGCCAAAUUGUUGCUUUGAGAUGUUCUGCCUCUUGUUUACAUAAAAGUGUAGCAGCUCAAGGUAAAACUAAAAUACUUGCUUCAAGGGUAAGCUUUAUCUCCCGUUUGUAGUUUAGGGUGUUCGAGGAAACAAAUACUUGCUUCAAGGGUAAGUUUUUAGUGUAAUUGAAUGGUUUAGGAGCAUUCUGUAUAUAUAUAUAUAUUUCUUUUUUGAUUGAUGGAUACUUGUAUUGAAGUAUGUUUUUUAUACUUAAUACUAACUAUUUUACUAAAGGUUGUAUUUUGAUUAAUUUUGUUUUGUUUUCUUGAUUUGUUGCUUCCUUGCCUUCAACAUUUGGUUACACAGAGUCUCAGUGAGCAACAAGCUUAUCUAGAACAUAACUUUGGAUGCUGCUCUAAUCUUACACCUCAUCUGGGCGGAAUGGAAAAAACACAUAUAUAGACAUGGAGAUUUUGUUUCUUUUUUUUCCUUAAGUUGUUUCUUCACUUUUCCACAAACCUUGUCCCAGCUAUUUAUUUUGGUUAAGUCACAAAGUUGACUGUCUUUUAGCCAAACUAGAAAUUAGACCCAGAUCGCGAGUACUGGUGGAUAUUAGGUCUACCCAUCGGCCUUCUCUAAUAGAGCACUCAAUCAAUCCCCAAUCAAUCUAUCAAUCCGUAGAUUGUGCCUGAAUUCGCCUCUCUGGUUCCUCAAAUCUUCUUAUUGUUGAUUGUCCAUAAUGAAAGCUAGCUUUUUCCUAUUUAUAUCUAUCAUUGGUGACUUGUUUUCUUCCUUUAUUCAUGCGAUUCACAGGUAAGGAGAGACCAGAUCAGUGAAAAAAUGAGGAAACUACAAGAGCUUGUCCUAAACAUGGACAAGGGUUAUGAAGCACAAUUUGCUGAAGAAGAGCAAAGGCAUUUCAAGUUAAUGAGAAACCUCAAUUUUAUUUAAGAGUUUGGUUUUGAGCCGUACACUCCGACUGGCCAAGGUUUGGAUGUACUUGUAACUAGAGUAGAGCCUUCUGCAUAAGCUGGUAGUAGGUAAUAUAUUUGGAAAAAAAUAGAAUAUAGGUCCUUUGGAACUAGAUAUGGAUGAACUGUUUAUGUUAAGUUUUUAUCCGUCAUGACCCAUUUUUAUUAUUGUGCUUUUAAAAGAGAAACAAAGGGAAUGAACAAUAAGAAUAAUUUUGGGUUCAUA